CUGCUAAGACUGGAUAGGAAACAAAAAGGCAUCUUUUUGUUUUUAAAAGACCUUCUUAUGAAGGUAUGCUUAAAGAGGGGCUUGCGCCACAUUAGUUAGUUGGUAGGGUAAAAGCCUACCAAGACGAUGAUGUGUAGCUGGACUGAGAGGUUGAACAGCCACAUUGGGACUGAGACACGGCCCAAACUCCUACGGGAGGCAGCAGUAGGGAAUUUUCGGCAAUGGAGGAAACUCUGACCGAGCAACGCCGCGUGAACGAUGAAGUAUUUCGGUAUGUAAAGUUCUUUUAUUGAAGAAGAAAAAGUAGUGGAAAAACUAUAUUGACGUUAUUCAAUGAAUAAGCCCCGGCUAACUAUGUGCCAGCAGCCGCGGUAAGACAUAGGGGGCGAGCGUUAUCCGGAAUUAUUGGGCGUAAAGGGUGCGUAGGCUGUUAGAUAAGUCUAUAAUUUAAUUUCAGUGCUUAACGCUGUCUUGUUAUAGAAACUGUCUUGACUAGAGUGAGAUAGAGGCAAGCGGAAUUCCAUGUGUAGCGGUAAAAUGUGUAAAUAUAUGGAGGAACACCAGAAGCGUAGGCGGCUUGCUGGGUCUUUACUGACGCUGAGGCACGAAAGCGUGGGUAGCAAACAGGAUUAGAUACCCUGGUAGUCCACGCCGUAAACGAUGAGUACUAAGUGUCGGGGUAAAACUCGGUACUGAAGUUAACACAUUAAGUACUCCGCCUGAGUAGUACGUACGCAAGUAUGAAACUUAAAGGAAUUGACGGGACUCCGCACAAGCGGUGGAUCAUGUUGUUUAAUUCGAAGAUACACGAAAAAUCUUACCAGGUCUUGACAUACUCUGCAAAGCUAUAGAAAUAUAGUGGAGGUUAUCAGGGAUACAGGUGGUGCAUGGUUGUCGUCAGUUCGUGUCGUGAGAUGUUAGGUUAAGUCCUAAAACGAGCGCAACCCUUGUCGUUAAUUGCCAGCACGUAAUGGUGGGGACUUUAGCGAGACUGCCAAUUAAACAUUGGAGGAAGGUGAGGAUUACGUCAAAUCAUCAUGCCCCUUAUGAUCUGGGCUNCAAACGUGAUACAAUGGCUGUGACAAAGAGUAGCUGAAACGCGAGUUUUUAGCCAAUCUCAAAAAAGCAGUCUCAGUUCGGAUUGAAGUCUGUAACUCGACUUCAUGAAGUUGGAAUCGCUAGUAAUCGCGAAUCAGCAUGUCGCGGUGAAUACGUUCUCGGGGUUUGUACACACCGCCCGUCAAA
Molecule: ribosomal RNA, 1245 nt
Filed under: Candidatus Phytoplasma trifolii
Lineage: Bacteria; Bacillati; Mycoplasmatota; Mollicutes; Acholeplasmatales; Acholeplasmataceae
Description: bacterial SSU rRNA
Rfam family: Bacterial small subunit ribosomal RNA
Source: RNAcentral